Long non-coding RNA from Prionailurus viverrinus (fishing cat), 358 nucleotides. RefSeq lists it as uncharacterized. The transcript is spliced from 3 exons. NCBI's taxonomy places the organism in Eukaryota, Metazoa, Chordata, Mammalia, Carnivora, Felidae. The record is from RefSeq and is a predicted model, not a curated record.
UCUAACUUAAUGUUUUAGUAAGAUCGCUUUGGAUGCUGUGUUGAGCAUGGAUCGAAAGGGAACAAAGGUAAAAGUAAAAAGAUAGUUAGAAGCUAUUGCUGGCUUGGACCAGGGUAACAGUAGAGAUGAUAAGAAGCACUCAUGUUUUGGGCAUAUCUUAAAGACGGAGCCAAGAGGCGCCUGGGUGGCUUACUCAGAACUUCGAAGAAGGAACCAGCCCUGCUGACAUUUUGACUUUAGCCCAGCGAGACAGAUUUUGAACGUCUAACUCUCCACGCUGCUUGGCCUUGUGACCCUGGCCAAAUUGAUGCACAGCUUCCAGACUGCCUAAAAACCCAUCACCUCAUUCAAAGUGGAG